CGGGGCGGAGCGCAGCCUGGUAGCGCAUCUGCUUUGGGAGCAGAGGGUCGUGAGUUCGAAUCCCACCGCCCCGACCA
This 77-nucleotide transfer RNA is filed under the name Accumulibacter sp. Its description in RNAcentral is "tRNA-Pro". It matches the Rfam family "tRNA". From Rfam's summary of the family: Transfer RNA (tRNA) molecules are approximately 80 nucleotides in length. Their secondary structure includes four short double-helical elements and three loops (D, anti-codon, and T loops). Further hydrogen bonds mediate the characteristic L-shaped molecular structure. tRNAs have two regions of fundamental functional importance: the anti-codon, which is responsible for specific mRNA codon recognition, and the 3' end, to which the tRNAs corresponding amino acid is attached (by aminoacyl-tRNA synthetases). tRNAs cope with the degeneracy of the genetic code in two manners: having more than one tRNA (with a specific anti-codon) for a particular amino acid; and 'wobble' base-pairing, i.e. permitting non-standard base-pairing at the 3rd anti-codon position. Lineage: Bacteria; Pseudomonadati; Pseudomonadota; Betaproteobacteria. The record is from RNAcentral.